GGUUGUUGAUUUGAGACCACUUCUUGAUUAGAGAUGGGAUUUCCUGUCCCCUUCCCUCCUCAGCAGUGUGAGCUGUCCUGCUUGAAUAUGUUCUGCCUCCGCAUGAUUCCACAGCCUGUCUUUCGUAGUACAUUGAGAUGCAUACCAUGAGAACUAGUCCUCAUGGAGGAGGCUUUCAGAGACACUCGACUUUUCCUCCAUGGGUCAACUGAAGAUUCCAAACCUGAGGAGCCAAUGGAGGAAGUUGUUUCUGUCUCAUCAUCACACAGGCUUUAUUCUGGACUUCAGGCAUUCUCUUUUGCUCUCUAGAUCUCUAGUGGGUAGCUUUGAUCUGGAAGUUCCAACCUCCAAUGAGACUUCGGCAACUGUCACACCUACAAAGCAGGGCCAAGGGAGGCGCCUGGAGACCCGAGAUCUGGAUCGGCCAGCGCGCUCUCUGGUCCGGGACCCUGGACAGUGGAGGUGGGCCAAGCAGAGCUCCAGAGAACACCGCUGGACUGUGAUACACCUUCCCCAGACCCCGCGACCUACCUAUCCUUUAAUUUGGCUAACUGUUUGGCAGAACCAAUGACAGAGCUCUUCCCACAGGAAGAUUAUUUCUCCCACUCCCAGCAUUCCGCAGAUUGGUGCCUAGCCCAAUAGUCAUCAGACAGGCUUCAUCCAGCAACUGAUGGGAGCAGAUGCAGAGACCCACAGUCACACGUUAGGCAGAGCUGAGGGAACCCUGAAGAACACUGGAAGGAAGGAUUAUAAGAUCCAGAGUAGUCAAGGAAACCACAAGAAAACCCACACAAUCAACUAACCUGGGCUCAUAGAGGUCACAGAGACUGAAAGAACAGAGAGCCUGCAUGGCUGUGACCUAGGUCCUCUGCAUGUGCUAUGGUUGCAUAGUUUGCUCUUCUAAUAGAACUCUUAACAGUGAUAGUGGGAGGUAUCUCUGACUCUUUAUUCUACACUUGAACCUUUUUUUUUUUCUACUGUGUUUCUUCAUCCAACCUUGAUAACGAGGGUUUUUGUUUUGUCUUAUUGUAAUUUGCUAUGCUCUGUGUAGUUGAUAUCCCUGGGAGGCCUGUUCUUUUCUAAAGAAUGGAAAUGAAGGAUAUUCAAGGAAAUGGAGGAAAGGGAAGAGAGCGGAUAUCGGGGAGUGGGAGGUCUGUGGGGGAAAUGGGAGGAGUGGAGGGAGGGGAAACUUCAGUCGGGAUGUAAUGUAUUUACCGCCUUAAUCAUGUAUAAGUCGCAAGUGUUACAUGAAUCUGAACUGUCAAAUUGACAAAUCUCAUAAUUUGUCGUACAUUGUUAGUCUCUGUGUGCAUUAACUUAACUCACAAGCACUUGUUAACGGCACUCCCUGAAAAUCGCUCUUGUACCUGCUGUCUGUAAUUUGACUGCUUUUUGGCAACAUGUUAAUAGAGUGAUACAAUAUAUGUUUUCCUGUGUCUUUCUGCUUAAAAGAAAGUAUAAGUAAAAAUAUUAACAUAUACACACAAAAUUGCAUAUAUUACAACAAUUAAAGAAAAAAGAGAUCAUGAAUUGGAAUAGAAUCAAAGUGGAGUGCAUGUGAGGAUCUAGAAGGAUGAAAGGGAAGAGGGAAAUGAUGCAAUUUUAUCUUAUUGACAAAAUACAGAAUAAUUUAGGUUAUGUUCUCCAGAUUUAUCUGUGCUGGAACAAAAAAAAAGCAAAAACGUUUUUUUAUGAAUAUCUAAUACAAAUUUCAUGAAACAAUUGUGAGGGUUUUAAUUGUAAUGAAAUAUGCCUGGAAGAGGUAUUAUCAUUUGGCUAAGUGAAAUUGGAUGUGUGAAGAGCUUAAUGUUACUUUUAAGUCUGAUGAAUAUAGACAUAUAUAAUGGGCUAUUUUUACUGAAUCUUUACAUAUUCUCUUAAAAAUAUUUGGGUUCUAGAGAUCUUUCACUUAAUCCACUAAGGUAUAAAUGUGUGUAGGAAAGGAGAUUAAGUGGAAACAACCUAAUUUAAAUCUGCCAAUGCCCAUGUUAGCCUCUGCUCAGCUCUGCAUACAGAAUGUCUAUUGGCUUUAGUGCUAAAGCUGAAGGAAAGAAAUGCCUUGGCAGCCCAUUAUUGUCUAAGUGUAAUCAGGCACUUAGCAACACCGACUUUGGAGGCAGGCAUCCUGUGUUUGGAAACAGCAGUUGAAUCCACAAUGAGCUAGCUGAUUGCUCAGUUAGUGUUCUAAUGUGGAGAGCAGGGGGCAGCCAUACUGCACCUGAACCAAGGUGUAAAUUGGACAACAAGACAAUGCUCUUUAAACAUUAUUUUGCCUGCUUACUCAUUUGGCACUGGAUUUUCCUCAGUGUACAUUUUCCAGGUUGUUUGGCUCUGCUCUACUUUUUCCAUAGUGAUUAUGAAUGGCUGUUACACAGUCUAGCUCUAUCCUUUCUAAAAACUAGAAAAAUAAGCACAGUAUAUAUUAACAUGAGCACAAUACAUGUUAACAAUUAUAAAAGAAAAUAAUAGAAGUAAGAAUAUUAUAUUCUUCCUACCAUGUAAAGGACAUUUAAAGUAUUGUGAGUAUGUCAAAUAUUUAACUAAGCCUGUAGUAACAGGUAUAUAAUUCAAUUACAGCUACAGAUAUGUUUUUCACAUACUAGUGGAAGGUAAAUGUAAAUAUAAACACAAAUUAAUAUUCCUGGAAUGUAAAAUUAAUAGUGACUGUCAUGACAGAAUACUGAUAUUAGUAAAUCAUAAAACUGUUAUCAUUACUUAUAAUAUUUAAACGUAAACAAUGAUGUUGCCAUUAAGAAAGAAUCUACUUCUACAUUCCAAAUUACUUUUUUAAUGUAAAAUGUAUUUAAAAGACUCAAAGAAAACAUGUAGAUAAUAACAUACAAAAAAAAAACUUUGAAAAUUGUCUCAAUAAAACUGGAGAUGUUCUACCCCUCAAUAUAAAGUGUUCUUUGUAUAUAAACCUAAAUUGAUAGAAAUAUCAUAAU
Molecule: long non-coding RNA, 2945 nt
Organism: Peromyscus californicus insignis
Lineage: Eukaryota; Metazoa; Chordata; Mammalia; Rodentia; Cricetidae
Exons: 6
Source: RefSeq, a predicted model, not a curated record